UACGGGGGGGGCUAGCGUUGUUCGGAAUUACUGGGCGUAAAGGGCGCGUAGGCGGUCUGCUAAGUUGGAUGUGAAAACUCAGGGCUCAACCCGGAGACGCCAUCCGAUACUGCUGUGACUUGAGUCUGGUAGGGGAACACGGAAUACCUGGUGUAGCGGUGAAAUGCGCAGAUAUCGGGAGGAACACCAGUGGCGAAGGCGGCACUCUGGGCCGGAACUGACGCUGAGGAGCGAAAGCGUGGGGAGCGAACAGG
This 254-nucleotide ribosomal RNA is filed under the name uncultured bacterium. Its description in RNAcentral is "partial 16S ribosomal RNA". It matches the Rfam family "Bacterial small subunit ribosomal RNA", at positions 524 to 776 of the family's 1533-position model. The record is from RNAcentral.